ACGCGAGUGCUGCCUCUUUCCGGCUCGUGGCGGGGGGAGGCGGGGCGGCCCCUGCCCUGCCCCGGGGCGGUGCCGGCAGCUCUCGGCGGGGCGGUGGAGCGGGUGCCGGUGCCAUGGCCGGUGGUCGGUGGCUGAUGGAGCCGCGGCGGUUGAUGCGAGCCGGGCUGGGGCUCAUCGUGCUGGGGCACGGCGGCCUGGCGCUGGGCGCCAUCGUGCACGGCUCCGUUCUGCGCCAUGUGGCCGGUACCAGCCGCGCCGUCACUCCCGCGUACGCGGUGGCCAACGUGGUGUCGGUGGUCUCGGGGCUGCUGAGCAUCGCCGCCGGUAUUGUCGCCAUCCUGGUGUCGCACAACCUGUCCCGGGCAGUGCUGCACUGGGCCCUCCUGAGCGUGUCCCUGCUGAACUGCCUCCUGUCCACAGCGUGCAGUGUGGGCCUGGCGGUGGCCAUCGCCCUCACCGUUCACAGCCGGGGCAUGCACCUUAUCACCGGCUGCAACAGCUCUGCGCUGCCUGCUGACGCCCGUGCAGCCAUAGCGACCAAUGACUGUCCUUUCAACACCACUCGCAUCUAUAAUCACAGGAUGGUUUGGGUUGAAGGGACCUUAAAGCUUAUCCAGUUCCAACCCCCUGCCGUGGGCAGGGACACCUUCCACUAGACCAUGUUGCUUAAUGCCCUAUCCAGCCCGGCCUGGAACACUGCUGGGGAUGGAGCAUUUAUCACUUCUUUGAGCAACCUGCGCCAGUGCCUCACCACCCUCACAGUAAAGAACUUCUUCCUUAUAUCUAACCUGAACUUCCCCUGUUUAAGUUUGAACCCAUUACCUGUUGUCCUAUCACUACAGUCCCUGAUGAAGAGUCCCUCUCCAGCAUCCUUGUAGGCCCCCUUCAGAUACUGGAAGGCUGUUAUGAGGUCUCCAUGCAGCUUCUCUCUCCAGGCUGAACAGCCCCAACUUUCUCACUGCCUCUCCCAUGUGCCCGCCCUUUCUCUGCCACUCUUUCUGUCUCCCUUUCUUUCUCCCUCUGCCCCCCUCCCUGCACAGCCUCUGCUCAGCUGCAUGGGCUAGGCUGGGUGCAGUGGACCACGCAAGCCACCCUGUGGGACCUCCAACCCUCUGCUCCGCAGGACACAGCCCUGGCGCUCUGGUUCCCCUCCAUGGUGCUGGCAGCCGCAGAAGCUGUGCUGUCUGGCAGGUGCUGUGUGGUAGCUCUGGUCUUCCGGGGCAUUGGGCCCUGUGCACGCAGCUACACCAAAGAGCAGCUGGCUGGACCAAGUACAGUGAAGGAGGGGCCCCCACGUGAGAUGCAGCAGCUCCUGACAGGGCUGGCUGAGUCUUGUACCUAGCUGGAGAGGUAGUGCUGCAGGAGUGCUGUGAUCCAGUGAGGUGAAGUUGCACCUGCACCGUGCUCCUGCUCCUGGUCUAGGUGUGGGUAGGGUGGGCUGCAGGGGGUAAGGGGUCUGCCUUCCCCCCCAGCCCCACCACCCCAUCUGGGACAGACCCUGCAGGUUCCAGACACAAGCUGCCCAUGGUCACCAGGCAGCCUUUGCCCAGCAGGCGCUGUGCACCUUGGAUGCUGUCCCCUUCUGUCCCCAAGCUGCAGGGCCCUUUGGAGCACGCUGAAGGCUCCAUCGGUCUUUUACAUGCAGUGAUGGUGGCAGGCAGAGGUGCAACAGGCAGGGUCCUGGUGGCCCUGCUGCAGAGCAGGCAGGGUCAGCUUGCUGCACCUGUGCUCAGGCAGACCAAGGAAUGGAAGAUGAAGAAUCCCUUUGUUGUGAGCCUCUGUUGUUUCCCUGAGUAAAUAAACUUUUAUACUGACUGCUCUAA
This is an RNA transcript of Strigops habroptila (Kakapo), 1823 nucleotides long. It is a transcript of the gene named keratinocyte associated protein 3, with no coding region annotated. The record is from RefSeq and is a predicted model, not a curated record. Lineage: Eukaryota; Metazoa; Chordata; Aves; Psittaciformes; Psittacidae. The transcript is spliced from 6 exons.